Molecule: unclassified non-coding RNA, 319 nt
Filed under: uncultured Entrophospora
Lineage: Eukaryota; Fungi; Glomeromycota; Glomeromycetes; Entrophosporales; Entrophosporaceae
Description: uncultured Claroideoglomus sequence contains ITS2
Rfam family: 5.8S ribosomal RNA (bases 1-52)
Source: RNAcentral
AACGCAUAUUGCACUCUCUGGUAUUCCGGAGAGUAUGCCUGUUUGAGGGUCAGUAAAUAAUAAUUAUCAUAAUCUUUUGAUUGUGGAAUUGGGCCUUUAUUUCAUUUUUAAUGAUUUAUGGCCUUAAAUUUAUGUUACCGCUUGUUUAAUAUGAAAUUCGACCGAAUGGAGCAAUUAAACAUUCUCUCGUUAGGCGGAUUCAUCAAGCAUUUACGAAUUUUUUGGCCGUCGAAGCACUUUUUUUAAAAGUGCUUGGUCAAGAUUGUAAGAUACAUUUAACAAUGACCUCAAAUCAGGCAAGAAUACCCGCUGAACUUAA